Molecule: ribosomal RNA, 515 nt
Filed under: uncultured bacterium
Lineage: Bacteria
Description: partial 16S ribosomal RNA
Rfam family: Bacterial small subunit ribosomal RNA
Source: RNAcentral
ACUCAAAGGAAUAGACGGGGACUCGCACAAGCGGUGGAUUAUGUGGUUUAAUUCGUAGGUAAACGAAGAACCUUACCAAGGUUAGAAAUCCUAGUGAAAGGUCCGGGAAACCGGAUCCCUCGCAAGACUCUAGGACAGGUGAUGCAUGGCCGUCGUCAGCUCGUGGUUUGAACUGUUCCCUUAAGUGGGCUAACGAGCGCAACCCUCGUUGUCUGUUACAAGUGUCAGGCAAGACCGCCCAGCCCAAUGUUUAUAAAAAUGUUUUGUAAAUAUCGGGCUGGGAGGAAGGAGAGGAUGACGCCAGGUCAGCAUGUCCCUCUGAUAUCUUGGGCCACACACAUAAUACAAUGGUUAUUACAAUGGGAUGCAAUGGAGCGAUCCGGAGCCAACCCUCAAAGAUAGCCCUAGUUCGGAUUGAAGUCUGCAACUCGACUUCAUGAAGCUGGAAUCGCUAGUAAUCACAGGUCAGCCAAACUGUGGUGAAUACGUUCUCGAGUCUUGUACACACCGCCCGU